RNAcentral lists this ribosomal RNA (1689 nucleotides) under Salmonella enterica subsp. enterica serovar Virchow. RNAcentral's name for it is "partial 23S ribosomal RNA". It matches the Rfam family "Bacterial large subunit ribosomal RNA", at positions 1154 to 2802 of the family's 2925-position model. Lineage: Bacteria; Pseudomonadati; Pseudomonadota; Gammaproteobacteria; Enterobacterales; Enterobacteriaceae. The record is from RNAcentral.
CGUAUCACUUAAAGCGAUUCAGCGGGUUACGAUUGACGGAGCGAAGCGACGUCAAAGCGUAUACAAAGUCGAGUCGGUUUAAGGAUACGUUCGUUGGGUAGGGGAGCGUUCUGUAAGCCUGUGAAGGUGUGUCGUGAGGCAUGCUGGAGGUAUCAGAAGUGCGAAUGCUGACAUAAGUAACGAUAAAGCGGGUGAAAAGCCCGCUCGCCGGAAGACCAAGGGUUCCUGUCCAACGUUAAUCGGGGCAGGGUGAGUCGACCCCUAAGGCGAGGCCGAAAGGCGUAGUCGAUGGGAAACGGGUUAAUAUUCCCGUACUUGGUGUUACUGCGAAGGGGGGACGGAGAAGGCUAUGUUGGCCGGGCGACGGUUGUCCCGGUUUAAGCGUGUAGGUGUGUGUUCCAGGUAAAUCCGGUUCACUUUAACACUGAGGCGUGACGACGAGGCACUACGGUGCUGAAGCAACAAAUGCCCUGCUUCCAGGAAAAGCCUCUAAGCAUCAGGUAACAUCAAAUCGUACCCCAAACCGACACAGGUGGUCAGGUAGAGAAUACCAAGGCGCUUGAGAGAACUCGGGUGAAGGAACUAGGCAAAAUGGUGCCGUAACUUCGGGAGAAGGCACGCUGACACGUAGGUGAAGUGAUUUACUCAUGGAGCUGAAGUCAGUCGAAGAUACCAGCUGGCUGCAACUGUUUAUUAAAAACACAGCACUGUGCAAACACGAAAGUGGACGUAUACGGUGUGACGCCUGCCCGGUGCCGGAAGGUUAAUUGAUGGGGUCAGCGCAAGCGAAGCUCCUGAUCGAAGCCCCGGUAAACGGCGGCCGUAACUAUAACGGUCCUAAGGUAGCGAAAUUCCUUGUCGGGUAAGUUCCGACCUGCACGAAUGGCGUAAUGAUGGCCAGGCUGUCUCCACCCGAGACUCAGUGAAAUUGAACUCGCUGUGAAGAUGCAGUGUACCCGCGGCAAGACGGAAAGACCCCGUGAACCUUUACUAUAGCUUGACACUGAACAUUGAGCCUUGAUGUGUAGGAUAGGUGGGAGGCUUUGAAGUGUGGACGCCAGUCUGCAUGGAGCCGACCUUGAAAUACCACCCUUUAAUGUUUGAUGUUCUAACGUGGACCCGUAAUCCGGGUUGCGGACAGUGUCUGGUGGGUAGUUUGACUGGGGCGGUCUCCUCCUAAAGAGUAACGGAGGAGCACGAAGGUUGGCUAAUCCUGGUCGGACAUCAGGAGGUUAGUGCAAUGGCAUAAGCCAGCUUGACUGCGAGCGUGACGGCGCGAGCAGGUGCGAAAGCAGGUCAUAGUGAUCCGGUGGUUCUGAAUGGAAGGGCCAUCGCUCAACGGAUAAAAGGUACUCCGGGGAUAACAGGCUGAUACCGCCCAAGAGUUCAUAUCGACGGCGGUGUUUGGCACCUCGAUGUCGGCUCAUCACAUCCUGGGGCUGAAGUAGGUCCCAAGGGUAUGGCUGUUCGCCAUUUAAAGUGGUACGCGAGCUGGGUUUAGAACGUCGUGAGACAGUUCGGUCCCUAUCUGCCGUGGGCGCUGGAGAACUGAGGGGGGCUGCUCCUAGUACGAGAGGACCGGAGUGGACGCAUCACUGGUGUUCGGGUUGUCAUGCCAAUGGCACUGCCCGGUAGCUAAAUGCGGAAGAGAUAAGUGCUGAAAGCAUCUAAGCACGAAACUUGCCCCGA